This 437-nucleotide ribosomal RNA is filed under the name uncultured eukaryote. RNAcentral describes it as "bacterial SSU rRNA". It matches the Rfam family "Eukaryotic small subunit ribosomal RNA", at positions 1224 to 1672 of the family's 1831-position model. The record is from RNAcentral.
CAGGACACGGUAAGGAUUGACGGACUGAAGGAUCUUUCUCGAUUCCGUGGAAAGUGGUGCAUGGCCGUUUUUGGUUGGUGGAUCGAUCCGUCUGGUUAAUUCCGUUAACGAACGAGACCUCGGCACUCCGAAUAGCGCGGCGGACGUCGCGGCCUCCGGGCCGUCUUCCGCGCGAGCUUCUUAGAGGGACCGUCCCCCGCCGGGGAAGGAGGUUCGAGGCAACGACAGGUCUGUGAUGCCCUUAGAUGUUCUGGGCCGCACGCGCAUUACACUGACGCGUCCAACGGGCGACUCCCGGCCCGAAGGGGUCGGGGAAUCCGCAAGGCGCGUCGUGAUGGGGAUUGAACGUUGCAAUUGUUGUUCACGAACGAGGAAUUCCUAGUAGGCGCGGGUCAUCAACCCGCGCCGAUUACGUCCCUGCCCUUUGUACACACCGC